UUCUCAGUUUCAGGUCAUUAGCCAUGUUAACCCGUCCCCAUUCCAUAGUGGCCCAGAAGGCCCAGGCAUGAUCCAGCAUGUUCUUAGCAGCACCCAGCCAGCACUGGCACUCAGCAGAGGCAACUCUUUAUCCAAGUGGCUUGAAUAAGAUGAAUUAGCCUGUUGGAAGAUUAUUCUAAGACCUUCUCCGACACAUUCUAUACAGGGAACCAAAGCACGGAGCCAUAAGGAACAAGUUCUGAUACUUUGGAUGGGUUCUUGAAUCAGGACUGAAGACAUGAAGCCAACUGACUAGGAUGUUCCAUGAAAUCAUGACCCUCAACUUACAAAUCAAGGAGCCAAAUCCCAUGAGGUUUUUGGUCCUAUGUACUCCACCUCAGCAACUACUUUUUGACGUUGAUGUAAAUAUAUGUCACACAACUUUUGCCAAUUCAACUUUUCUCAGACACAGACCUUAUUGACAACAAUUAAAGUAAUCCACUGUGCAACAUA
This is a long non-coding RNA of Echinops telfairi (small Madagascar hedgehog), 492 nucleotides long. RefSeq lists it as uncharacterized. The transcript has 2 exons. Lineage: Eukaryota; Metazoa; Chordata; Mammalia; Afrosoricida; Tenrecidae. The record is from RefSeq and is a predicted model, not a curated record.